GUGGCGAACGGGUGAGUAAUAUAUCGGAACGUGCCCAGUAGUGGGGGAUAGCCCGGCGAAAGCCGGAUUAAUACCGCAUACGACCUACGGGUGAAAGCGGGGGAUCGCAAGACCUCGCGCUAUUGGAGCGGCCGAUAUCAGAUUAGGUAGUUGGUGGGGUAAAAGCCUACCAAGCCGACGAUCUGUAGCUGGUCUGAGAGGACGACCAGCCACACUGGGACUGAGACACGGCCCAGACUCCUACGGUAGGCAGCAGUGGGGAAUUUUGGACAAUGGGCGCAAGCCUGAUCCAGCCAUGCCGCGUGCGGGAAGAAGGCCUUCGGGUUGUAAACCGCUUUUGUCAGGGAAGAAAAGUUCUGGGCUAAUACCCCGGGACGAUGACGGUACCUGAAGAAUAAGCACCGGCUAACUACGUGCCAGCAGCCGCGGUAAUACGUAGGGUGCAAGCGUUAAUCGGAAUUACUGGGCGUGAAGCGUGCGCAGGCGGUCUUGCAAGACAGAUGUGAAAUCCCCGGGCUUAACCUGGGAACUGCAUUUGUGACUGCAAGGCUGGAGUACGGUAGAGGGGGAUGGAAUUCCGCGUGUAGCAGUGAAAUGCGUAGAUAUGCGGAGGAACACCGAUGGCGAAGGCAAUCCCCUGGACCUGUACUGACGCUCAUGCACGAAAGCGUGGGGAGCAAACAGGAUUAGAUACCCUGGUAGUCCACGCCCUAAACGAUGUCAACUGGUUGUUGGGAGGGUUUCUUCUCAGUAACGUAGCUAACGCGUGAAGUUGACCGCCUGGGGAGUACGGCCGCAAGGUUGAAACUCAAAGGGAUUGACGGGGACCCGCACAAGCGGUGGAUGAUGUGGUUUAAUUCGACGCAACGCGAAAAACCUUACCUACCCUUGACAUGUCUGGAAUUUUGCAGAGAUGCGAAAGUGCUCGAAAGAGAACCAGAACACAGGUGCUGCAUGGCCGUCGUCAGCUCGUGUCGUGAGAUGUUGGGUUAAGUCCCGCAACGAGCGCAACCCUUGUCAUUAGUUGCUACGUAAGGGCACUCUAAUGAGACUGCCGGUGACAAACCGGAGGAAGGUGGGGAUGACGUCAGGUCAUCAUGGCCCUUAUGGGUAGGGCUACACACGUCAUACAAUGGCCGGUACAGAGGGCUGCCAACCCGCGAGGGGGAGCCAAUCCCAGAAAACCGGUCGUAGUCCGGAUCGCAGUCUGCAACUCGACUGCGUGAAGUCGGAAUCGCUAGUAAUCGCGGAUCAGCUUGCCGCGGUGAAUACGUUCCCGGGUCUUGUACACACCGCCCGUCACACCAUGGGAGCGGGUUCUGCCAGAAGUAGUUAGCCUAACCGCAAGGG
This 1350-nucleotide ribosomal RNA is filed under the name metagenome. Its description in RNAcentral is "bacterial SSU rRNA". It matches the Rfam family "Bacterial small subunit ribosomal RNA", at positions 95 to 1447 of the family's 1533-position model. The record is from RNAcentral.